Molecule: ribosomal RNA, 374 nt
Filed under: uncultured eukaryote
Lineage: Eukaryota
Description: partial 18S ribosomal RNA
Rfam family: Eukaryotic small subunit ribosomal RNA
Source: RNAcentral
CAAGAGCGUAUGUAAAAGUUGUUGCAGUUAAAAAGCUCGUAGUUGAACCUUGGGUUUGGUUGGCCGGUCCGCUUUUUUGCGAGUACUGGAUUCAACCGAGCCUUUCCUUCUGGCUAACCAGUCGUUUCGGCGGCUGGCGAACCAGGAUUUUUACUUUGAGAAAAUUAGAGUGUUCAAAGCAGGCAUUAGCUUGAAUAUAUUAGCAUGGAAUAAUAGAAUAGGACGUUAUGGUUCUAUUUUGCUGGUUUCUAGGACCAUCGUAAUGAUUAAUAGGGACGGUCGGGGGCAUCAGUAUUCAGUUGUCAGAGGUGAAAUUCUUGGAUUUACUGAAGACUAACUACUGCGAAAGCAUUUGCCAAGGACGUUUUCAUUAA